This 1297-nucleotide ribosomal RNA is filed under the name Drosophila ananassae. Its description in RNAcentral is "eukaryotic LSU rRNA". It matches the Rfam family "Eukaryotic large subunit ribosomal RNA", at positions 1808 to 2884 of the family's 3401-position model. The record is from RNAcentral. Lineage: Eukaryota; Metazoa; Arthropoda; Insecta; Diptera; Drosophilidae.
AAAAUUUAUGGUGGGGAUACGCAAACUUCUCAACAGGCCGUACCAAUAUCCGCAGCUGGUCUCCAAGGUGAAGAGUCUCUAGUCGAUAGAAUAAUGUAGGUAAGGGAAGUCGGCAAAUUAGAUCCGUAACUUCGGGAUAAGGAUUGGCUCUGAAGAUUGAGAUAGUCGGGCUUGAUUGGGAAACAAUAAUAUGGUUUAUGUGCUCGUUCUGGGUAAAUAGAGUUUCGAUCAUUUAUGGUUGUAACUUGUUCCCCGGAUAGUUAGUUACGUAUCCAAUUGUGGAACUUUCUUGCUAAAAUUUUUAAGAAUACUAGUUGGGUCAAACCAAUUAGUUCUUAUUAAUUAUAACGAUUAUCAAUUAACAAUCAAUUCAGAACUGGCACGGACUUGGGGAAUCCGACUGUCUAAUUAAAACAAAGCAUUGUGAUGGCCCUAGCGGGUGUUGACACAAUGUGAUUUCUGCCCAGUGCUCUGAAUGUCAAAGUGAAGAAAUUCAAGUAAGCGCGGGUCAACGGCGGGAGUAACUAUGACUCUCUUAAGGUAGCCAAAUGCCUCGUCAUCUAAUUAGUGACGCGCAUGAAUGGAUUAACGAGAUUCCUACUGUCCCUAUCUACUAUCUAGCGAAACCACAGCCAAGGGAACGGGCUUGGAAUAAUUAGCGGGGAAAGAAGACCCUUUUGAGCUUGACUCUAAUCUGGCAGUGUAAGGAGACAUAAGAGGUGUAGAAUAAGUGGGAGAUAUUAGACUUCGGUUUGGUAUCGCCAAUGAAAUACCACUACUCUUAUUGUUUCCUUACUUACUUGAUUAAAUGGAACGUGUAUCAUUUCCUAGCCAUUAUACGGAUAUAUUUAUUAUAUCUUAUGGUAUUGGGUUUUGAUGCAAGCUUCUUGAUCAAAGUAUCACGAGUUUGUUAUAUAAUCGCAAACAAAUUCUUUAAUGAGAGAUGCAUUUACUGUAUUAUUGAUUUGAAAAUUUGGUAUAACUCCAAUUACUCAGGUAUGAUCCAAUUCAAGGACAUUGCCAGGUAGGGAGUUUGACUGGGGCGGUACAUCUCUCAAAUAAUAACGGAGGUGUCCCAAGGCCAGCUCAGUGCGGACAGAAACCACACAUAGAGCAAAAGGGCAAAUGCUGACUUGAUCUCGGUGUUCAGUACACACAGGGACAGCAAAAGCUCGGCCUAUCGAUCCUUUUGGUUUAAAGAGUUUUUAACAAGAGGUGUCAGAAAAGUUACCAUAGGGAUAACUGGCUUGUGGCGGCCAAGCGUUCAUAGCGACGUCGCUUUUUGAUCCUUCGAUGU